UCUGCAGUCAUUCAUUUUUAUUCUGUAUUUUUUCUUCGUUUUUCUCCCUAAAUUUUAAUGGUUACUAGCGAUGAAGAGAAUUACCUAUUUUCCGAUUGCAGCAUCGUGCUGCAGCGUGAAUCAUUCUAUUCGGUUCGUAUUCACUGAGCAAUUUGUUUUAUUUUCCCCAAAUGCUUAUUCCAUUUUGAAUUCGAUUUGUUUUUCGAUCUGAAUCGAAUGCAAAUUCCUAUCUCGAUUCUAAAUUUCAACGAUUCUAACGAAGGACCUAUAGACGAGAGGCGAUUUGAAAAUGCCGAUUCAGUCAAGUUUACCUUCGCAAAUGGAUAUCGUUCUGAAUUUUGAUCGCCGAUCCGGAUCUGUUAGUUUCGGUUCCCAGCGGAGAGGAAGCGGUCUUGAACGACACCUCUCUAACACAUGAUUUACACCUUCGCAAAUGGAUAUUGGCCAUCUUAAACGCGCUUCUGAAAAUUUCGAUUUUAGAUGCGUUUUGAACCCUUUGGCUAUAUUUUCCUCAAUGACACUAUAUAGUUUUCAUUAUUAUCUUAGUUUUUCAUUUUCAUGUCCUUGAGAUCAGUAUUUUAUAAUUUGAUUUAGCUUUGUUCCAAUUGACGAACAAGUGUAUUAUAAACCCCAAAUAUAGCAUGAACUUUAUUUCUCUCACGCAGUAUAAUUACGGUGACAUGUUAUUGUAA
Long non-coding RNA from Salvia hispanica, 692 nucleotides. RefSeq lists it as uncharacterized. Lineage: Eukaryota; Viridiplantae; Streptophyta; Magnoliopsida; Lamiales; Lamiaceae. The record is from RefSeq and is a predicted model, not a curated record.